RNAcentral lists this ribosomal RNA (678 nucleotides) under Triticum aestivum (bread wheat). Its description in RNAcentral is "partial small subunit ribosomal RNA". The record is from RNAcentral. Lineage: Eukaryota; Viridiplantae; Streptophyta; Magnoliopsida; Poales; Poaceae.
AUGACUACCUGCUUCUCCGACAUUAUAAAAGAUCAUUCCCUUGAUUUCAUAGGAUUGCAGGAAACUAGGAAGAAAGAGAUUCUUCCGAAGUUCUUAUGCAAAGUGGAUCCCUCGAAUAGAUUUGCUUGGAACUGGGUACCUUCUAUUGGCAAAUCUGGUGGCAUCCUUUGUGGCAUCAAAAAAGAAACUCUGGAAGUUGUCUCCUGGACAGUGGGUAAAUUUUGCUUGCAAGCUACCCUUUUUGAUAUUAAUCUCAAAUGUGUGUGGGCCCUUAUAACGGUAUAUGGAGCGGCACAGGAUGACAAGAAAGAGGAAUUUUUAUGCGAGCUUGCAUCCAUGUGUUCUCUCCUCCAAGUUCCUUACAUUGUGGGAGGGGAUUUUAAUAUCCUUAGAGAGAGUUGUGAGAAAAAUAAGAAUUUGAGUCGGUCCCCUUACAUGGAUAAGUUUAAUUCCAUCAUUCAAUCCCUGAACCUACAUGAGAUACAUAUGGGAGGGGGCAAGUACACCUGGUCCAAUCACCAGAGACACCCUACGUUAGAAAAGCUUGACAGAGUUCUUAUGAGUUUUGAGUGAGAGGACCUUUUUCCCUUGGUCACAGUCCAGAAACUAGUGCGGGACGUAUCUGACCACAAUCCUCUUCUGCUGUCAUCGAAUUUGAUAGCAGAAAAGACGUCGUGA